AAUAGAUACCCUGGUAGUCCACGCCGUAAACGAUGGAUACUAGCUGUUCGUCCGCCUCGGCGGAUGAGUGGCUAAGCGAAAGUGAUAAGUAUCCCACCUGGGGAGUACGAACGCAAGUUUGAAACUCAAAGGAAUUGACGGGGGCCCGCACAAGCGGUGGAGCAUGUGGUUUAAUUCGAUGAUACGCGAGGAACCUUACCAAGGCUUAAAUGUAGAUUGACAGGACUGGAAACAGUUUUUCUUCGGACAAUUUACAAGGUGCUGCAUGGUUGUCGUCAGCUCGUGCCGUGAGGUGUCAGGUUAAGUCCUAUAACGAGCGCAACCCCUGUUGUUAGUUGCCAGCGAGUGAUGUCGGGAACUCUAACAAGACUGCCAGUGUAAACUGUGAGGAAGGUGGGGAUGACGUCAAAUCAUCACGGCCCUUACGCCUUGGGCUACACACGUGCUACAAUGGCCGGUACAGAGAGCAGCCACUGCGCGAGCAGGAGCGAAUCUAUAAAACCGGUCACAGUUCGGAUCGGAGUCUG
This 527-nucleotide ribosomal RNA is filed under the name uncultured bacterium. RNAcentral describes it as "bacterial SSU rRNA". It matches the Rfam family "Bacterial small subunit ribosomal RNA", at positions 777 to 1307 of the family's 1533-position model. The record is from RNAcentral.